ACGAACGCUGGCGGCGUGCCUAAUACAUGCAAGUCGAGCGGAAUGAUGAAGAAGCUUGCUUCUUCUGAUUUUAGCGGCGGACGGGUGAGUAACACGUGGGCAACCUACCUUGUAGAUUGGGAUAACUCCGGGAAACCGGGGCUAAUACCGAAUAAUCCAUUUUGCUUCAUGGCGAGAUGUUAAAAGGCGGCUUCGGCUGUCACUACGAGAUGGGCCCGCGGCGCAUUAGCUAGUUGGCAGGGUAAUGGCCUACCAAGGCGACGAUGCGUAGCCGACCUGAGAGGGUGAUCGGCCACACUGGGACUGAGACACGGCCCAGACUCCUACGGGAGGCAGCAGUAGGGAAUCUUCCACAAUGGACGAAAGUCUGAUGGAGCAACGCCGCGUGAGUGAAGAAGGUUUUCGGAUCGUAAAACUCUGUUGUAAGGGAAGAACACGUACGAGAGUAACUGCUCGUACCUUGACGGUACCUUAUUAGAAAGCCGCGGCUAACUACGUG
This 499-nucleotide ribosomal RNA is filed under the name uncultured bacterium. Its description in RNAcentral is "bacterial SSU rRNA". It matches the Rfam family "Bacterial small subunit ribosomal RNA", at positions 29 to 507 of the family's 1533-position model. The record is from RNAcentral.